CCCUUAGAUGUUCUGGGCCGCGCGCGCGCUACACUGAUGCAUUCAACGAGCCUAGCCUUGACCGAGAGGUCCGGGUAAUCUUUGAAACUGCAUCGUGAUGGGGCUAGAUUAUUGCAAUUAUUAAUCUUCAACGAGGAAUGCCUAGUAAGCGUGAUUCAUCAAAUCGCGUUGAUUACGUCCCUGCCCUUUGUACACACCGCCCGUCGCUCCUACCGAUUGAGUGUGUUGGUGAGGAGUUCGGAUUGGCUCUUAGUGGUGGUUCGCCACCACCUAGAGCUGAGAAGUUCUCCAAACCGCCCCACUUAGAGGAAGGAGAAGUCGUAACA
RNAcentral lists this ribosomal RNA (326 nucleotides) under uncultured eukaryote. RNAcentral's name for it is "partial 18S ribosomal RNA". It matches the Rfam family "Eukaryotic small subunit ribosomal RNA", at positions 1470 to 1796 of the family's 1831-position model. The record is from RNAcentral.